This 88-nucleotide transfer RNA is filed under the name bacterium. Its description in RNAcentral is "tRNA-Leu". It matches the Rfam family "tRNA". From Rfam's summary of the family: Transfer RNA (tRNA) molecules are approximately 80 nucleotides in length. Their secondary structure includes four short double-helical elements and three loops (D, anti-codon, and T loops). The record is from RNAcentral.
GCCGGGAUGGCGGAAUUAGGUAGACGCAAAGGACUUAAAAUCCUUCGGACUUUUGUCUGUGCCGGUUCGAGUCCGGCUCUCGGCACCA